Molecule: ribosomal RNA, 481 nt
Filed under: uncultured bacterium
Lineage: Bacteria
Description: bacterial SSU rRNA
Rfam family: Bacterial small subunit ribosomal RNA
Source: RNAcentral
UGGCUAACUCCUACGGGAGGCAGCAGUAGGGAAUAUUGGACAAUGGGCGCAAGCCUGAUCCAGCCAUGCCGCGUGAGUGAAGAAGGCCUUCGGGUUGUAAAGCUCUUUUGUCCGGAAAGAAAAGCAUCCAGUUAAUACCUGGGUGUCCUGACGGUACCGGAAGAAUAAGCACCGGCUAACUUCGUGCCAGCAGCCGCGGUAAUACGAAGGGUGCAAGCGUUACUCGGAAUUACUGGGCGUAAAGCGUGCGUAGGUGGUUUGUUAAGUCUGAUGUGAAAGCCCUGGGCUCAACCUGGGAAUGGCAUUGGAUACUGGCAGGCUAGAGUGCGGUAGAGGGUAGUGGAAUUCCCGGUGUAGCAGUGAAAUGCGUAGAGAUCGGGAGGAACAUCUGUGGCGAAGGCGACUACCUGGACCAGCACUGACACUGAGGCACGAAAGCGUGGGGAGCAAACAGGAUUAGAAACCCCUGUAGUCCAGCUGG